UCCGGUUUAUCACCGGCAGUCUCGUUAGAGUGCCCAACUUAAUGAUGGCAACUAACAAUAGGGGUUGCGCUCGUUGCGGGACUUAACCCAACAUUUCACAACACGAGCUGACGACAGCCAUGCAGCACCUGUCUCACGGUUCCCGAAGGCACUAAGCCAUCUCUGGCGAAUUCCGUGGAUGUCAAGAGUAGGUAAGGUUCUUCGCGUUGCAUCGAAUUAAACCACAUGCUCCACCGCUUGUGCGGGCCCCCGUCAAUUCAUUUGAGUUUUAACCUUGCGGCCGUACUCCCCAGGCGGUCGACUUAACGCGUUAGCUCCGGAAGCCACGCCUCAAGGGCACAACCUCCAAGUCGACAUCGUUUACAGCGUGGACUAC
Molecule: unclassified non-coding RNA, 376 nt
Filed under: uncultured Enterobacteriaceae bacterium
Lineage: Bacteria; Pseudomonadati; Pseudomonadota; Gammaproteobacteria; Enterobacterales; Enterobacteriaceae
Description: contains 16S-23S intergenic spacer region
Source: RNAcentral